Molecule: ribosomal RNA, 467 nt
Filed under: uncultured bacterium
Lineage: Bacteria
Description: partial 16S ribosomal RNA
Rfam family: Bacterial small subunit ribosomal RNA
Source: RNAcentral
GACGAACGCUGGCGGCGUGCUUAACACAUGCAAGUCGAACGGAAAGGCCCUGCUUUUGUGGGGUGCUCGAGUGGCGAACGGGUGAGUAACACGUGAGUAACCUGCCCUUGACUUUGGGAUAACUUCAGGAAACUGGGGCUAAUAACGGAUAGGAGCUCCUGCUGCAUGGUGGGGGUUGGAAAGUUUCGGCGGUUGGGGGUGGACUCGCGGCUUAUCAGCUUGUUGGUGGGGUAGUGGCUUACCAAGGCUUUGACGGGUAGCCGGCCUGAGAGGGUGACCGGCCACAUUGGGACUGAGAUACGGCCCAGACUCCUACGGGAGGCAGCAGUGGGGAAUAUUGCACAAUGGGCGGAAGCCUGAUGCAGCAACGCCGCGUGCGGGAUGACGGCCUUCGGGUUGUAAACCGCUUUCGCCUGUGACGAAGCGUGAGUGACGGUAAUGGGUAAAGAAGCACCGGCUAACUACGU